RNAcentral lists this small RNA (274 nucleotides) under Theobroma cacao (cacao). Its description in RNAcentral is "sRNA Tc02v2_g018770". The record is from RNAcentral. Lineage: Eukaryota; Viridiplantae; Streptophyta; Magnoliopsida; Malvales; Malvaceae.
GAAAAAGUGUACGAUUUCAAGGGAUUAAGCUAAUAAAGGUGGUGAGCUCUCUAACAAAGGUAAAGAGGUUGUGCCCGAAGACCGAGAAUAGGAGUAUAUCGAACUCCUAGUACUGCCCGAGGUAGCCUGUGGAUUACAAAUAUCCUCAAGGAUUAUAGUUGGCUUUACUACUCCAAAAACUGUAGGUUUACUGCCUUUGUGCACUUCUGUUCCUUGUGGGCCCAUGAGUCACUGUAAAGUAAAUUUCAUAUCCCAGUUAUCUGUAUUAUAGUCC